Molecule: ribosomal RNA, 532 nt
Filed under: Escherichia coli
Lineage: Bacteria; Pseudomonadati; Pseudomonadota; Gammaproteobacteria; Enterobacterales; Enterobacteriaceae
Description: partial 23S ribosomal RNA
Rfam family: Bacterial large subunit ribosomal RNA
Source: RNAcentral
UAAUAGCUCACUGGUCGAGUCGGCCUGCGCGGAAGAUGUAACGGGGCUAAACCAUGCACCGAAGCUGCGGCAGCGACGCUUAUGCGUUGUUGGGUAGGGGAGCGUUCUGUAAGCCUGUGAAGGUGUGCUGUGAGGCAUGCUGGAGGUAUCAGAAGUGCGAAUGCUGACAUAAGUAACGAUAAAGCGGGUGAAAAGCCCGCUCGCCGGAAGACCAAGGGUUCCUGUCCAACGUUAAUCGGGGCAGGGUGAGUCGACCCCUAAGGCGAGGCCGAAAGGCGUAGUCGAUGGGAAACAGGUUAAUAUUCCUGUACUUGGUGUUACUGCGAAGGGGGGACGGAGAAGGCUAUGUUGGCCGGGCGACGGUUGUCCCGGUUUAAGCGUGUAGGCUGAUUUUCCAGGCAAAUCCGGAAAAUCAAGGCUGAGGCGUGAUGACGAGGCACUACGGUGCUGAAGCAACAAAUGCCCUGCUUCCAGGAAAAGCCUCUAAGCAUCAGGUAACAUCAAAUCGUACCCCAAACCGACACAGGUGGUC